This 475-nucleotide ribosomal RNA is filed under the name uncultured bacterium. Its description in RNAcentral is "bacterial SSU rRNA". It matches the Rfam family "Bacterial small subunit ribosomal RNA", at positions 30 to 524 of the family's 1533-position model. The record is from RNAcentral.
AUUGAACGCUGGCGGCAUGCCUUACACAUGCAAGUCGAACGGCAGCGCGGGGCAACCUGGCGGCGAGUGGCGAACGGGUGAGUAAUAUAUCGGAACAUACCCUAGAGUGGGGGAUAACGUAGCGAAAGUUACGCUAAUACCGCAUACGCACUAAGGUGGAAAGUGGGGGAUUCGCAAGAACCUCAUGCUCAUGGAGUGGCCGAUAUCUGAUUAGCUAGUUGGUGAGGUAAAGGCUCACCAAGGCAACGAUCAGUAGCUGGUUUGAGAGAACGACCAGCCACACUGGAACUGAGACACGGUCCAGACUCCUACGGGAGGCAGCAGUGGGGAAUUUUGGACAAUGGGGGGCAACCCUGAUCCAGCAAUGCCGCGUGAGUGAUGAAGGCCCUAGGGUUGUAAAACUCUUUGUGCGGGAAGAUAAUGACGGUACCGCAAGAAUAAGCCCGGCUAACUUCGUGCCAGCAGCCGCGGUAAU